RNAcentral lists this transfer RNA (71 nucleotides) under Loxodonta africana (African savanna elephant). It matches the Rfam family "tRNA". From Rfam's summary of the family: Transfer RNA (tRNA) molecules are approximately 80 nucleotides in length. Their secondary structure includes four short double-helical elements and three loops (D, anti-codon, and T loops). Further hydrogen bonds mediate the characteristic L-shaped molecular structure. tRNAs have two regions of fundamental functional importance: the anti-codon, which is responsible for specific mRNA codon recognition, and the 3' end, to which the tRNAs corresponding amino acid is attached (by aminoacyl-tRNA synthetases). tRNAs cope with the degeneracy of the genetic code in two manners: having more than one tRNA (with a specific anti-codon) for a particular amino acid; and 'wobble' base-pairing, i.e. permitting non-standard base-pairing at the 3rd anti-codon position. The record is from Rfam by way of RNAcentral. Lineage: Eukaryota; Metazoa; Chordata; Mammalia; Proboscidea; Elephantidae.
CCCUGGGUGGCGCAAAUGGUAACGCACUUGGCUGCUAAUCAAAUGACUGGUGGUUCGAGUCCACCCAGGGG